UCCAUAAAGAGACAAAAAGGGCCAAGCGUGGUCAAGACUCCUUGGGGCUUUUGGCUGAGGGACAGGGAGGGAAAGUUCAUUGUCAUGUGACUCUGCCCUCUGCAAAAAAGCAAAGUCCAUGCUCUUCUUAGGGACCUUGUUGACGUAGUGCAUGGAACCAGAGUUCAACUCAUGUGUCUCCCAGGGGUCCUGCCUCCCUUCCUGAAGCCUGACACCAGCUGUUUCAUGGCUCCAAAGCCUUGACGUCUACUCCCAGCAAGCUUAUCACGACUGUGGCCCCCUGAAGAGGAAUGCUGCUAAGGAUUUCAAAGGAGGGAAAACACAUAUGAUAUUUGCCUUCUUGUGGCUUGUGGCCUGCUCUACACGAUGUUCAGAGCUUAUAAAGACUGAACCAUGUUGCAAGACAAUGAAGUUCUAGAGAUCUGCUGUACGUUAUAGAUCCUAUAGUAAGCAAGAUGAUAUUGUACACUUAAAAUAUGAUCAGAAGACCUCAUGUGAAAUAGUCUUACAAUAAACAAACCAACCCACAGAACACAAGGAAAUAUUUGGAGGUGAUGCAUAUGUUUAAUGUCUUGAUUGUGGUUAACAGUAUCAUAGGUGUGUAUAUACAUCCAAAAUCAUCAAAAUGUACGCAUCAAAUAUUUGCAUUUUUAUAUGUCCAUUAUACCUCACUAAAGCAUACAAAGGAAGGAAGAAAACAAACAGAACUGAGUCACCUGGAAGUGCAUGGAAGAGUGAUGUAACUUUAUACAGUAAGAGCCUCAGAUUGUCCAAGGAAUGGGAGCUCCAUAAAUAUUGGUUGAAAAACAUUUGAUGUUAUCCAAGCCAUCAGCUUCGCUGGACCUGUUUCUUCUUUUGAACAGAAAAGAAAAUCUGGACAGGCAUACAUCAAUUGUGAGGAUCUGGGUGUGUAAGAUUUCUCGUCAUGGUGGACAUCUUAUCAUGCACAAACUGGAAGAAGUAUCAGAAUGGCAUCACUUGAGCAAUCUUAAAAUUACUACAAAUCGGGCAACAAGACAUUGCAAGCCUCUUAUGUGGCACAAUAUUUGUUUACAGGAAACAAUGAAGAUGGAGGAGCACGUUGAAUUUGUCUAAGUACAUGAGAAUCUCAUCCGUCAGACCUAAAUGUGGGCAAUUUUCCAGGAUAAGUGACCUGGUUUCUUUAACGCAAUGCAUGCUUUUGGGUGAGGAGGUAUCAUUAGAUUAAAGGAAACAUAAAAGACAUCUUAAUCUUGUUUGGAACUUUAUGCCAACAGAAUAACUGUAAAAUGACAUUCUUGAGACAAGAAAUGAAUUCAACCUGAAUAUAAGAUUGCAUUAAAUUGUUAUUAUUGAUGUUGUUAAGGCCAGUAACGGUGCUAUGGUUUUGCUGUAGACAGAGGUCCACAGGUAUUUUCUGCUGUUUUCUGGAUGAAUAUUGAUGAUAUUACCAUAUGUGAAACAAACCAGGCAUGAAAGGACAAAUGCUGUGUGGUUCUGGUUUUAUAAGGUCACUAGAAUGGCCAAAUUCAUAGAAAGUAGAAUAGUGAAUUCCAGCGGCUGUGAGGAGGGGAAUGGAGAGCUAAUAUUGAAUGGAUGUUGGUUUGGAAAGACGAAGACAGUUUUAGAGACAGAUGUGGUGACAGUUGCACAACAAUAUGAAUAUACUUAAUAUCCAUAACUGUACACUUAAAAUGGUUAAAAUAGAUGGCAAUGGAUGUUAUGUUCAUUUUAUCACAAUAAAAAAAAAGUCCUCAGGUAUUAGGGAUAGAUGCUAGAGUAGUUAAGGGUGACCGACAUGAUGCCUGAGAUUUGCUUUAAAAUAAUCCAGUAAAACAGAACAAAAAACCUGGAGGAGAGAGAGUAAAUAAGAUUGGGAAAAUGCAUAGAAUGAUGAGGAGUGAUGGGGAAUAAAUUAAACUAUUGGUUAUUUAUGAUAAACCAUAGGAGAGUAUAUGAAGUUUAAAAUUACUACAUCACAUUUUGGUGUAUUGAAUUUAAUUCUCUAAGAGGCACUGCACACUUAUACUCUUUUUAGAGGACUCAUUUUAAAAAAAUCUUGCAACACCUUAGUAACAUGUACUGACCUCAUAUGAAAUUGAGAAUAAAAUAGCCCAAACUCAUGGAAGAGGUCAUGGAGAAUGCAACCCUCUCAUGCAUAAAUGCAGGGAUACUUGUGUUGUUCUUGCCAGAUUGUUGGGAAGAAUAAACAAGAUCAUAUAUGACAGCAUUCUUUAUUGCUGCCUCCAUCAUAAAAUAUGAAUGCUCAGGCUCCACCUCAAACCAAUGGGAAUAGAAUCUCUGAGUGUGAAACCCAGGGAAAUGUGCUUUUAAAAAGCUACCUAAGUGAUUCUAAUGUGCAAUCAAAGUCAAGAGUUACU
Molecule: long non-coding RNA, 2360 nt
Organism: Lepus europaeus (European hare)
Lineage: Eukaryota; Metazoa; Chordata; Mammalia; Lagomorpha; Leporidae
Exons: 4
Source: RefSeq, a predicted model, not a curated record